Amblyraja radiata (thorny skate) is the source of this 578-nucleotide long non-coding RNA. RefSeq lists it as uncharacterized. NCBI's taxonomy places the organism in Eukaryota, Metazoa, Chordata, Chondrichthyes, Rajiformes, Rajidae. The transcript is spliced from 3 exons. The record is from RefSeq and is a predicted model, not a curated record.
CACCAGGCAGUCAGGCAGGAAGGAAUGUUGGUCAGUGGUAUGGGCUGCUCAUCAUCUUGGUAUAUUUAAACACAUGAUGAAUUGUGAGGCCUGGCACCAUCCGAUUCCGGACUGCUCUGAAACAUGCUGUUCUGUGCUGGAACUCGGCAUAUCGUCUCCAGGCAUUACAUUGAAGAAACGGGUACAUUUUCAGAUGAAGAAUAUCAAGUUUUUUUUCCUACAGAAAUAAAAUAUUUUGCCUUGAAUUGUAUUUAGAAGCUAAUAUAUUUUGUUUGAGUUUUUCCAUUAUGAAGUGUCAUUGUGUAGACUGGAAAUCACACAUGAAAAUCGCCGUGGCCAGUAAUUUUCCACUUUAUUAUUAAAUAUGAAUCUGGCCCAAUCAAGCUCUGUAUGCUACUUCCUUCUGUUUCAAAUAUAAAGGACUUUUUUCUAUAUGAAAGUUGUGAAUAAUGUGGAAAUAUUUACUUAUUUUUAAUCUUGGACUGGUUGCACAUGGUGUUUCCCUUAUCCCAUUUUAACUGCAGUUUGCGAUGGUAUAUUCCAACGUAGCAGUGAACACCACUAUCCUCAGUCAAUGG